GGCGCACCUGGAGGGCCCAGGCUGCCCUUCUUCAUGCCUCCACCAGGACCUAAUCCCAAGCUAACCUUUGCCUUGCUUCAGCCCCAGUCUACACUCAAGACCAAAAGGUAUGGCUUUCAUCUAAGGACUUGCCCCUGACAGUGGUUUCCAAAAAAACACCUCCCUGAUUCAUUAGCCCCUUUGAGAUUGCUUGUGUCAUAAACCCCUCUGCUGUUCAUUUGAAAUCCCCAGACUCUCUCAAAACUCACCCCACCUUCCAUGUAUCCUUAAUUAAACCGGUCUGCUCCUGUCCCCUCCUGCAGCUCCUCCUCCACCCCUCGGCUCAUUGACGACCAUCUGCCUAUACCGUCCGGCGGAUUUUGGAUGUGCGCCAUCGGGGCCAAGGUUGGCAGUAUCUGGUGGACUGGGAAGGAUACAGGCCUGAGGAUCGCUGCUGGGUGCCCCGUCGUCACAUUCUGGAUCCCUCCCUCUUACAGGAUUUUCAUACCUCACACCCAGACAAGACGGGUCAUGCGCCAGGUGGCGUCCGUAGAGGGGGGCGUACUGUCACAUCUGCUUCUGCUACGCCCUCAGGUGUUCAUCCGGGGUCUUCUUGACCUGCAGUUAAUCCCCCUGUACAUUCUCUCUCUCCCUAUCCCUCUCUGUGUGAUUGUGCGGUUGGAGAAAGGUGUGCUGGAGUCAGAGCAGAUCCCUACCAGCUGCAACUCGUUCCAUAAUGAAGACUUCAACAAAUACUCAGUCCUGCCACUUGCACUCUGCCAGAUCGUAAUCUCUGCUCAUUACUGCUCUGCCUCUGGCUCCUGUCUCCUGUUCCACAUCUCACCACCCAACUACAUUGCUCUGGAUUUUACUCACCACCACUAGCUUUGAUUCCCCUCAGGACCUGUUUACACUGUUCUACUCAGCUAACUCCAACCUCAAUUCUCCACAUCUCGUUUUUCUGCAACUCAUCCAAGCUUCCCCUGAUCUGCACUCCAUAUCUCUCUGUGUAACUAUAAGUAUUUUGUUUCAUUCAUCCUUGUUACCUCAUCUGAGUCUGCUCUUGGGUUCCCCUGUGUCGCUCCGCCUAACAUAAAUAACAGCAAUAAAAGCUCUCUGUUUUUAGUUGCCAGUCAAUGAAACUACUAAUUAAAAACAUUCCACUCAGGAUAACAAUCACACUUUAAUAGGUCAAAUAAUAUGGAGAGGCUGUUCGAUAGCAAGAACUGGAGUAUCUUGAUUGGAUUUUUCCAACAAAAUUGGAUUACAAACAAUGAACAGCACACACUAAUAUAUAUAAAUUCACAUAAUUUAAAACAGUUAAUUUGGUUAUUUAAAUGCAUUGCAUCAUAGAUGUAACAACAAUAGAUAAAUGUAAAGUAAGAUCUCUACAUGGAAAUAGAGGAAUUGAGACAGAUCAUCAAUAAACCAGGAAAUUAAGAUCAUCAGUAAUGUUUUGAUCUGUCCUGUGUACCAGUCUGUACUAUCAUUCCAUUCCUUGCCACUCCAAACAUUUUACCUUUAUUUAACUAGGCAAGUCAGUUAAGAACCAAUUUUUAUUUUCAAUGACAGCCUAGGGGAACAGUGGGUUAACUGCCAGUUCAGUGGCAGAACGACAGAUUUGUACCAUGUCAGCUCGGGGGUUUUGAACUUGCAACCUUCCGGUUACUAGUCCAACGCUCUAACCACUAGGCUACCUGCCGCCUCUACACUCUAACCACUAGGCUACCCUGCCGCCCCAAAACAUGGCAUGACAAGAAGUGGCGAGGUGUGAAAUGAUAACAGAAACAGACUGGUACCCAGGAUAUUUUUUUUACCGAGGCUAGUUUUUUUAAUAAAUAUCCCAGAUGACGAGGAAGAAAAUUUUAACCAGCAUGCCAUCUGUCUAGUAACCUUCAGAAAACACAACACACAAAGGAGCAAUAGAGAAAACUAAAACAUAUUUCAUUCGUUACAGUAGUAACAACCUCUGAAUUAAUUUGGUCAGUUCAGAAGAGGAACUGCUUAUAUUGCACAUUAUUUAAAAACAGUAGCAUUUAUACAUUGAAGAAAAAAAGAUAACCAACACAUUUAUAUCAAACAUUAUUGCUUGUUGCACACAUAUACCUUCAUACUUGUAUUACAGCAAUGUUAAUACAUUACGUUAUUACAAUGUUAUUACAACUAUGUACAUCUGGCUUGUACCAACCAAAGCCUGUUCUUGUCCCUUCGAAGGAAAUAAACACAUUUAACAGAGUUCAUCCAGCCAUCUUGCAUCAGCCCAAUGCAUGUUCAUCAUGCAGCAGGCUAGAUCACAGCUGAUUGAUUCAUGCAAGGAGAAAUGGUAAGUGGAAGCGAGGCUAUCUGCCAGGGUAGGUUUAUUCCAAUCGGAAAGAGGUCAGGCUAUCUGCCAGGGUAGGUUUAUUCCAUGGGACAGAGGUCAGGCUAUCUGCCAGGGUAGGUUUAUUCCAUGGGACAGAGGUCAGGCAAUCUGCCAGGGUAGGUUUAUUCCAAUCGGAAAGAGGUCAGGCUAUCUGCCAGGGUAGGUUUAUUCCAUGGGACAGAGGUCAGGCAAUCUGCCAGGGUAGGUUUAUUCCAAUCGGAAAGAGGUCAGGCUAUCUGCCAGGGUAGGUUUAUUCCAUGGGACAGAGGUCAGGCAAUCUGCCAGGGUAGGUUUAUUCCAAUCGGAAAGAGGUCAGGCUAUCUGCCAGGGUAGGUUUAUUCCAAUCGGAAAGAGGUCAGGCUAUCUGCCAGGGUAGGUUUAUUCCAAUCGGAAAGAGGUCAGGCUAUCUGCCAGGGUAGGUUUAUUCCAUGGGACAGAGGUCAGGCAAUCUGCCAGGGUAGGUUUAUUCCUUGGGACAGAGGUCAGGCAAUCUGCCAGGGUAGGUUUAUUCCAAUCGGAAAGAGGUCAGGCUAUCUGCCAGGGUAGGUUUAUUCCAAUCGGAAAGAGGUCAGGCUAUCUGCCAGGGUAGGUUUAUUCCAUGGGACAGAGGUCAGGCAAUCUGCCAGGGUAGGUUUAUUCCUUGGGACAGAGGUCAGGCAAUCUGCCAGGGUAGGUUUAUUCCAAUCGGAAAGAGGUCAGGCUAUCUGCCAGGGUAGGUGUAUUCCUUGGCACAGACAGACCAGGGUAUCUGCUGUGUGGAAAGUAAGACAAGGUAGGAUGAUGUUGAUGUAAUGUCAGGAGCCCUCUUCACCCACACACCAGUCCUCA
This is a long non-coding RNA of Oncorhynchus keta (chum salmon), 3169 nucleotides long. RefSeq lists it as uncharacterized. The record is from RefSeq and is a predicted model, not a curated record. NCBI's taxonomy places the organism in Eukaryota, Metazoa, Chordata, Actinopteri, Salmoniformes, Salmonidae. The transcript is spliced from 5 exons.